This 498-nucleotide ribosomal RNA is filed under the name uncultured bacterium. RNAcentral describes it as "partial 16S ribosomal RNA". It matches the Rfam family "Bacterial small subunit ribosomal RNA", at positions 30 to 523 of the family's 1533-position model. The record is from RNAcentral.
AUUGAACGCUGGCGGGAUGCUUUACACAUGCAAGUCGAACGGCAGCACGGACUUCGGUCUGGUGGCGAGUGGCGAACGGGUGAGUAAUGUAUCGGAACGCGCCCAGUCGUGGGGGAUAACGUAGUGAAAAUUACGCUAAUACCGCAUACGAUCUAUGGAUGAAAGCGGGGGAUCGCAAGACCUCGCGCGAUUGGAGCGGCCGAUAUCAGAUUAGGUAGUUGGUGGGGUAAAGGCCCACCAAGCCAACGAUCUGUAGCUGGUCUGAGAGGACGACCAGCCACACUGGAACUGAGACACGGUCCAGACUCCUACGGGAGGCAGCAGUGGGGAAUUUUGGACAAUGGGCGAAAGCCUGAUCCAGCCAUUCCGCGUGCAGGAUGAAGGCCCUCGGGUUGUAAACUGCUUUUGUACAGAACGAAAAGGUUUCUACUAAUACUAGGAGCUCAUGACGGUACUGUAAGAAUAAGCACCGGCUAACUACGUGCCAGCCGCCCGUAA